Molecule: ribosomal RNA, 207 nt
Filed under: uncultured bacterium
Lineage: Bacteria
Description: partial 16S ribosomal RNA
Rfam family: Bacterial small subunit ribosomal RNA
Source: RNAcentral
CUCGUAGGCGGUUUGUCGCGUCUGCUGUGAAAUCCGGAGGCUCAACCUCCGGCCUGCAGUGGGUACGGGCAGACUAGAGUGCGGUAGGGGAGAUUGGAAUUCCUGGUGUAGCGGUGGAAUGCGCAGAUAUCAGGAGGAACACCAAUGGCGAAGGCAGAUCUCUGGGCCGUAACUGACGCUGAGGAGCGAAAGCACGGGGAGCGAACA